This 901-nucleotide long non-coding RNA is filed under the name Homo sapiens (human). RNAcentral's name for it is "HSALNT0380633". Lineage: Eukaryota; Metazoa; Chordata; Mammalia; Primates; Hominidae. The record is from RNAcentral.
GAAUAAUUUUGCUAUUUUUUAAAAUACUGGCCGCCAUCAUCAAGCAGCGAGCAGCAGCAGAAGCGUUGAAGGGAGAGGAGGCAUCGGGACAGGCCCCUCUUAGGAGAGGAUUUAUAUCUAGUUGGAAAAAAAAAGAAAGAAAAGAAAAAGAAGAAAAAGAAGAAAAAAAUUGUCAAGCCCCCGAACUGAAGGUUACGAGCGGCCCGUCAGCAGCCCACAUGUAACCGAACUGUCGUGUUUCAUGGCUUUUUGCCACUCCAGCUGUCAAUCAAAGCCCGGAAUGUCAAGGUAGUGAAUGAAUGAUGGUUGAUGAUGAUGAAGAGGAGGAAUCUUUCAGACCCGUUUUUUUCUUCCAGUAAAACUCCGCGAGGGGUUUCUGCUUCUUGAAUUUUUUCCUCCCCCCUCCCCCCUUUUUUAGCUUUGCCCCCGCGGUAUCUAUAAUACGAUCCUCUCUCUUUAAAGUAUUGUUCAAAGAAAGCAGUGAGAAAAAUCAAGAAAAAAAAAUGAAUAGUUUGCAAAAAUUGGACUUCCUCCCCCCCUUUCCUGGAUCUUCCUUUGUCUCCCAGCCUGGAAUGCAGUGGCACAAUCACUGCUCACUGCAGCCUUGACCGUCUGGACUCAAGUGAUUCUCCUACUUCAACCUCCCAAGUAGCUGGGACUACAGUCAUGCACCAUCAUGCCUAUAAAGAUAAUUUAAUUUAUAAUAAAUUAUUUAUACAAACAAUAACAUUCAGUAUAUUUUUCCAAGACCUUGAUAAAAUAUGAUAGUGGUAUUCUUUUCUUGCCAUAUAUACUCAACCAUUCAAUUCAACCAACAAAUACCAUGAUGAUUGUGUGCUACUCUACAUGUUAAGGGGGUGUCAUGUACAAACUCAUCCAGGGAGCAUGGGAGUUAAUAAAA